Long non-coding RNA from Capsicum annuum, 1648 nucleotides. RefSeq lists it as uncharacterized. The record is from RefSeq and is a predicted model, not a curated record. The transcript is spliced from 3 exons. Lineage: Eukaryota; Viridiplantae; Streptophyta; Magnoliopsida; Solanales; Solanaceae.
CUCACUACAUCACACCCAAUUCAGAACAAACUAUUCACUUUUCAUGCCAAUGUAUGACUAUAUCUAUGAUACAAUGGAUAAGACAUCAGACACAUUGUAUGAAAAGUCACUUAAGAAAGAAGCUGAAGUACCUGAUGUGGUCCACCUUACGCAUCUAACAACCCUAGAAUCCAUCUACCAUCUUCGACUAGGAUUUGCAUCGCUGGCCUCGAAGCUUUCACACCUCAAAGUGGUAUUUUUGUUUAAUAUGGCCCAUCACAUUAUGGUCAAUAAUGCUUACAGGGAUUUCUGGUCCCACAUUUAUUGUUGAGAGAAAUUUGUUCAAGAAUGUCAAAUUACAAACUUAGGCUAUUCCAAAGUAUCGCAUACAAGUAAUUAAGUUUGAUUACUAAAAAUUGUUGUUACUUUUUGCGUCUGUUGUUAAAGUGAUUAUUAAUUUGUCCUGAUUCUUGAUUUUGUUGCAGUACUUUAUGCAAUAGCAAAGAGAGAGUAUUAACAAUUUGAUCGAGAAAGCGUUAAAUGAAGCAGAUCAGAAAGGCAUUAAAGUGUUGAGCCUUGGACUCUUAAAUCAGGCUAGUCAAAAUAUAUGUCCAAAAGCCUAAUAAUACCCAUCCUUUAUUUAUCUAUGACAAAAAUGCAUGACCGAUUCUUAACCAGUAAUAUCCUGCAAACUUAUCGCAGAAUGUUUGUACGCAAUCACAACAUUAUGGACGAAAAGAUUUUAAAAAAAUUCACACAUUACCCUAUAUCAACGUUGAAGGUUAACUCAUACUUAUGGUUUAUUUCAAAUGUAUGUUUUCAGGAAGAGCAACUGAAUAGGAAUGGUGAAAUUUUCAUAAAGAGGUACCCUCAGUGAAGGUGGUAGAUGUAAGUAGCCUAGCUGUUGCUGUGGUCCUCAACUUUAUUCCUAAAGGAACUUCACAAGUUUUCCUUCGAGAAGUUGCUAACAUUGCCCUUGCCUUGUGUAAAGGGGGAAUUCAAGUAUAUUUGACUAUUAAUCUCCAAAUAUUUUUAGCUUUUCGUUUUCUCGGUCAUUGUAAUUUUCUAUGUACAGGUUGUCAUGCUAGAUGAAGAAGAUAAAAAGAGACUUAAAGCAAGGCUUACCCCCGAGGCUGCAACUAAUUUGGUCUUCUCAAAAUCUUACAAUGUUUCAAAGACAUGGCUAGUAGGGGAUGGAUUGAGUGAAGAUGAACAAUUGAAUGCACCAAAAAGAACAUUAUUUAUACCUUUUUCACAAUUUCCUCCAAGAAAAGCUCACAAGGACUGCUUCUAUUUCAACACACCAGCCAUGAUUUCUCUGAAGCAUCUUGAAAAUUUAGACUCUUGUGAGAACUGGCUACCAAGAAGAGUGAUGAGUACCUAGAGAAUAGCUGGAAUUUUACAUGCAUUGGAAGGUUAGAAUGAGCAUGAAUGUGGUGACAUGAUGCUUGAUACUAAGAAAGUGUGGAAAGCUAGUCUGGAACAUGGUUUUUGCCCAUUAACCAAGAUUUCUGCUGCUUAAUCAAAGGGCUAAAAUCAUAUACUAUAUAGACUGCUCUUUCUAUUUUGAAUCUUUGAUCUACGUUGAUUUAUAUUACUGAAUCUUGGAUCUACGACGAUUUAAAAGUUUGUAAAAUAUUUCCUACAACACUUUGUGCAACAAAAACAA